Molecule: ribosomal RNA, 3837 nt
Filed under: Triticum aestivum (bread wheat)
Lineage: Eukaryota; Viridiplantae; Streptophyta; Magnoliopsida; Poales; Poaceae
Description: partial small subunit ribosomal RNA
Source: RNAcentral
AUGGGUGUCCAAGAAAUCCGCGAUGUUGUGUCAUCCCUGUUCAUCAUGCUAAACAAAGAGACAUACAUCCUGUUUCGGAUUGAGUUUCUUGUGGUCCUGGUCACAGUCAUGUUCCUUGUCAUGUUCAUCGUGGACAUCUUUCGUCGCCACAUCCGCAACACAGCAGUGACAGUCUUCUUCAACAUCUUGGGUACGGUCUCUGACUCUAUUGUCUUCUACCUGCUGGGGGCCAUGACAAAAGCAAGCUUCACAAAUCAGUUGUUCCCUGUCUGGGCCCUCGUGCUUGUUAGUAUCCGUUACAACAUUGACUUCAUCUCUGGCUAUGGUGUUUAUGACCGCCAUGGGCGACGGUUCAGGGAGUGGAGUAACGUGGUGAAACUUCUGGGAACAGCCUUCUUGAUGAUCGGAGGCUCAAGGUUCACACUUCCACUUUGGUCGCUUUUGGCUCUGCUGAUGCUGAGGAGCUGGUACAGAUUGAAAGCAUAUAGUUUGGCGCUCCGUUCUGUCUGGCAUGGCAAGAGUUCAGAGGUGGUCACAGAGUACAUGCGUGCAGGCCCUCAUAGUAGCAACUGGAAACCAAAUGAGUGCAGUCCAGAGAAUGAUCUGGAAGGAUACAAAUACUUGGUACAUGGAGAAACCCGUCGGAGAAUAAAAUUCAAGAAGCCUCGCUAUGUCUUGGACAUCGAUACUGCAGCUGGGCGUGAUUUUUCGUCAGUGAUCACCCUAGACAUGAUUUGGGGAUGUCGUAGGCACCAGUUACUCCCAGAAAACAAUAAGGGAAAUGAUCCAAAGGAUCUCUCUUUGGCCUUCGCCUUGUCCAGACUGCUCCGGUGCAGGCUCGAGGAUGUAACACUGCAACAAGAAAUCUUCUGCAUUAACCGAAAGCUAGUGAAGACUAAGAUUCUUGACGACCAGAAUGCUGAUCGUGCCUUCAAAAUCAUGGAGUUGCAACUAUCCUUCAUAAAUGAGUACUUCAACAGCCGUUACCCUAUGGUCUUUUGGGAAGGGUUCAAUUCUCUCUUCUCAAAUCUGCUUCUCUCUGUGGUGAAUUUGGCUCUUGUCUGCUGGCUUGUUGUGGACAUCUGCAAAAACUAUAACAAUGAUCCCCCGCAAAAUCACCAGUACAAUCCCCCGAAGAAUCACAGGGCUAAUGUGGUGCAUGGGUUCAACGUUGACAUGUUCAUCACAUUUGUAUUCAUUUUCUUUAUGGUGUUCAAAGAGAUCUGGGAGAUGGUCAGCUAUAUAAUCUCAGACUGGACAAGGUUACUCCUUGUGUGCAGCUAUGCACGGCUUAAGGAAGAGCCCACUAGAAAUAGAUGUAUGGAGAGAACAAUGUCAUCCCUUUUCAGAUCUAGGGUAACUACUAAGCAGUGGCAUGGACUUAUUGACCAGUAUGUCUUCUUAGAGUCAUAUGAUGAUAGACCAAGAUUUUGGAAUCUGCUUCACAAGAUAACCACAGGAAUGGCACCAAAGAAGGAUGAUGGAGCAACACUCCGUGAUGCCAUCGAUGUGCCGGAAUGUGUCAGGCCUACAAUACUGAAGAAGCUCUGUGCAAGCCUAGAGAAGCCCAACUCUCCUGACACCGUACAUUAUCAGCCAGACAGUCCUAACAUAAAUCAUGAGGAGCCCAUCAUUUGGGGUAGUCGUUUUCUACCCAAGGUCAUCACAUCACUGCCCGAAGCUGUUGGAAACCGAAGGGAGAAGUAUGAUUGGGCCUGCUAUGGCCUGCCCACGUGCUCUCAUGUAAUUCUGGUGUGGCACAUUGCAACAAGCCUCUGUGAGAUGAAGCUUGCUCGGGCACAUGGCGUCGAUUUAAGCAAACAUGGGUUCCUGGUAUCCCUCUUGUCGUACAUGACAAGUUUCUGCUCAUCAAAACCAUAUCUUGUGGAUGUGGACGAGAAGACGAAAGAAAAGAAGAAAGUGAAUGAGAAGUUGCCCGAUAAGAUCCAGGAAAUGUAUAUCACUGCCAAUAGCUUGUCUCGGUACUGUGCAUAUCUGCUAGUUUCAAAGCCCGACCUGAUCCCUGAUAGCUUCUAUGUUCCCAAAAUGGUCUUCCAAGAAACUGUAACACAAGCUCGUGAUGGUAUUCUUAAGGACUGUGACUCAUUACAGAAUAGGUAUGAAAAACUGUUGCAAGUAGGAGUCGAGGCCAUCCAAGAUGCUAACAACAUCAUGAAGGAUGAUGUCGUACGACAAGGUGCAAAGCUGGGAAAGUUACUGAUUGAUCAAGAGAGUGAAGAAGGCUGCUGGGAGAUCCUGUCUGGGGUAUGGGCAGAGUUACUAGUGCACAUUGCCCCCACUUGGAACGCAGAGGCGCACAAGGAGUGCCUCGAGUCAGGCGGGGAAUUCAUAACCUAUAUCUGGGCAUUGCUAUGGCAUUGUGGAAUCGAGAAGAGCAAAUUAUGGCCUGAGGAAGAUUUGCAUGAAAAUGGUGCCCCUGGAACACCACCUCAGGAUAGCAGUGUUCAAACUAAUAGCACUCAGCAUGCACAACAGACUUGUGCAGCAGGACCAAAGAAAGAAAGAGAGGAAGCUGUCAUACAGAGAUCAGAGAUACAGCAAGUUGAUGCAGAGGAGAGGAAUGGGUGGACCGAAACGCCAAGCGCAGAUACGGCUGAUCAUCAGAAUGGGCAAGGUGGCAGUAUGGGGGUUAGAGGGAUGCGGAAUGGCGGGAACACAUGUUACUUCAAUGCAGUGCUGCAGAGUCUCCUUGCACUUGAUAAGCUGCGUGCAAGGAUGUUAGGAUCGGAUGCUCUAAAAGGGAACCUGGGCCAGGAACUGCAGAAGCUUUUCAUAAUGACAACAAAUACCAAUGACGCAAACGGUAUGUUGAAGCCAGAGAAGCUCUUCUUACAUAUGUGCUUAAGGAAUUCAGAUUUCAAAUCUGGCGUGAUGGAAGACAGCAAUAACAUGCUUGGUUCCUUGCUAGAUGGUUUGAACAAUGAGGAACCUACAAUGGUUGAGUCACUUUUCCGUGGCCAGAUUGUUAAACUUGUCUCCAGCAAAGAGUGUGAUCACACAUCAGUUACCACGGAGAAUCUUGAUCUCAGUCUGGCAAUACCAUCAAAAAAGACCACAUCACUCGAGGACUGCUUGGAUUUAUAUGCCACUGGGGUGAUCGAGGAUUGGCACUGUAUCGGCUGUUCAGCUGCUGGUGCUGGUGGUCGUGAUGGUGGAAAUGGCUCUUUGAAACAAGAUGAUACAACAACCAGUGAUGGCCAACCUGAACAGUCGGAGAAUAAACCAUACGGGAAGGAGGAAUCUAGCCAUAUAGCUGACAGAGAAGCAAGAAUAACAAAUCAGAACAAUGGAAAGCUACCUGUGUUUAAUGGCAAUGCAAAUCAAAUAGAACAAAGUCAUAGAAAACACAAGGACGAAGAGAAGAUAUGCAGAGUUGCAAUAGUACAAUAUCGCAUUAGCAAGGCGGCACCUUUAUUAACCAUUCAACUCAAGAGAUUCGACUAUUCACACCCUGAUAGGCCAGACAAGCUUGAAGAACAUGUGCGCUUUCAGGAUACACUAGAUAUAACAAAGUUCAUGGACCCUGGGCAUCAGGCGGACGACGGGUACAAAUACCGUCUAGUUGCUGUCAUUGUACACAGUGGACCAACCCUGCAUGAAGGACACAAUUUUGCUUAUGUGAGAGCAAGCCAGAUUGCAUGCCAGCAGCAGGAGAGCCGUGGCACUCCCACAUGGUUCCGUGCAAGCGAUGAGAGCAUCACAGAAGUAUCAUUGGAAGAGGUGCUGGAGUGUCAGGCAUACAUUCUUUUCUACGAAAGAGUUGAACAGGCAAAGGACAUGUCAGUUCUAGAAGAGCAUCUGCCGACCGACCACUGA